UACGGAGGAUGCGAGCGUUAUCCGGAUUUAUUGGGUUUAAAGGGUGCGUAGGCGGGAUGCCAGGUCAGCGGUAAAAAUGCGGUGCUCAACGCCGUCGAGCCGUUGAAACUGGCGUUCUUGAGUGGGCGAGAAGUAUGCGGAAUGCGUGGUGUAGCGGUGAAAUGCAUAGAUAUCACGCAGAACUCCGAUUGCGAAGGCGGCAUACCGGCGCCCUACUGACGCUGAGGCACGAAAGCGUGGGUAUCGAACAGG
Molecule: ribosomal RNA, 252 nt
Filed under: uncultured bacterium
Lineage: Bacteria
Description: partial 16S ribosomal RNA
Rfam family: Bacterial small subunit ribosomal RNA
Source: RNAcentral